RNAcentral lists this ribosomal RNA (765 nucleotides) under uncultured Streptococcus sp. RNAcentral describes it as "bacterial SSU rRNA". It matches the Rfam family "Bacterial small subunit ribosomal RNA", at positions 28 to 776 of the family's 1533-position model. The record is from RNAcentral. Lineage: Bacteria; Bacillati; Bacillota; Bacilli; Lactobacillales; Streptococcaceae.
GAUGAACGCUGGCGGCGUGCCUAAUACAUGCAAGUAGAACGCUGAAGCUUGGUGCUUGCACCGAGCGGAUGAGUUGCGAACGGGUGAGUAACGCGUAGGUAACCUGCCUCUUAGCGGGGGAUAACUAUUGGAAACGAUAGCUAAUACCGCAUAAAAGUCGACAUCGCAUGAUGUUGACUUGAAAGGUGCAAUUGCAUCACUAAGAGAUGGACCUGCGUUGUAUUAGCUAGUUGGCGAGGUAACGGCUCACCAAGGCGACGAUACAUAGCCGACCUGAGAGGGUGAUCGGCCACACUGGGACUGAGACACGGCCCAGACUCCUACGGGAGGCAGCAGUAGGGAAUCUUCGGCAAUGGGGGCAACCCUGACCGAGCAACGCCGCGUGAGUGAAGAAGGUUUUCGGAUCGUAAAGCUCUGUUGUAAGAGAAGAACGAGUGUGAGAGUGGAAAGUUCACACUGUGACGGUAACUUACCAGAAAGGGACGGCUAACUACGUGCCAGCAGCCGCGGUAAUACGUAGGUCCCGAGCGUUAUCCGGAUUUAUUGGGCGUAAAGCGAGCGCAGGCGGUUAGAUAAGUCUGAAGUUAAAGGCUGUGGCUUAACCAUAGUACGCUUUGGAAACUGUUUAACUUGAGUGCAGAGGGGGAGAGUGGAAUUCCAUGUGUAGCGGUGAAAUGCGUAGAUAUAUGGAGGAACACCGGUGGCGAAAGCGGCUCUCUGGUCUGUAACUGACGCUGAGGCUCGAAAGCGUGGGGAGCAAACAGG